This 400-nucleotide ribosomal RNA is filed under the name uncultured bacterium. RNAcentral's name for it is "bacterial SSU rRNA". It matches the Rfam family "Bacterial small subunit ribosomal RNA", at positions 355 to 771 of the family's 1533-position model. The record is from RNAcentral.
UGAGGAAUAUUGCGCAAUGGGCGAAAGCCUGACGCAGCGACGCCGCGUGGAGGAUGAAGGCCCUCGGGUUGUAAACUCCUGUCAGUGGGGAAGAGAACGGACGGUACCCACUGAGGAAGCUUCGGCUAACUACGUGCCAGCAGCCGCGGUAAGACGUAGGGAGCAAGCGUUGUCCGGAAUUACUGGGCGUAAAGAGCUCGUAGGCGGGAGCGUGCGUCUGAAAGGAAAUCUCAGGGCUCAACUCUGGGGCUUUUUCAGAUACGGCGCUUCUUGAGUGUAACAGAGGAAAGCAGAAUUCCCGGUGUAGCGGUGAAAUGCGUAGAUAUCGGGAGGAAUACCAGUGGCGAAGGCGGCUUUCUGGGUUACCACUGACGCUGAGGAGCGAAAGCGUGGGGAGCGA